Molecule: transfer RNA, 73 nt
Filed under: Schistocerca americana (American grasshopper)
Lineage: Eukaryota; Metazoa; Arthropoda; Insecta; Orthoptera; Acrididae
Description: tRNA-Ala
Rfam family: tRNA
About the family: Transfer RNA (tRNA) molecules are approximately 80 nucleotides in length.
Source: RNAcentral
GGGGGCGUAGCUCAGAUGGUAGAGCGCUCGCUUAGCAUGCGAGAGGUACUGGGAUCGUUACCCAGCGCCUCCA